AGCUGCCUGAACGGUUUGAGCAUCUUCUGCAGAGAAUCGCUCGGAGACCCAAGCCUCAGCAGUUCUUCGGAUUAAUGGGCAAGAGGGAUGCUGAUACUGCACUUGAAAACCAAGUGGCCCUGUUAAAAGCGCUUUAUGGACGUGGCCAAGUUUCUCAUAAAACAGCUUUCGAGAGGAGCGCAAUGCAGAAUUAUGAACGAAGACGUAAAUAACCCCCUAGCAUAUUAUGCAUUGGGCUUGAUUUGUGCCAAUGGCCAGUGAAAGGUAAAAUGAGAAAAUUAAAUAUUUAUUUAAUAAUAACUAUUAUUUGAGUUGAAAACUCAGAAAGUGUUUAUUUUUCAUAUUGUGCCAACACGUGUUGUACAGAUGUGUCCUGGUUCUAAUGUGAGCUAGAAAUCAGUGGUAAUUUCCCCACGAAGCACAGUAAACAAUACAGUUCUGAAGCCUGUCAAGGACAUAGUCGCCCACGAAAGAAACCAUCAGGGUUUGUCGGGCUUUCUUUGGAAGCAGUCAAGUCAGCUACUGAUGAAAGGGAAGGAAACUUCCAGAUAGUCCUGUGCACCCCGUCUUUGUUACACGCUGACCAUGUAAUAUGAUUUUCGUAUCAAACUACAUUUGUAUCCCUGAAGCAUGUUCCAUGUUUUAUGACCAUAUACAGAUGUUUUAAAAAGUUACAAUGUGGUACUAAAGCUUUAUUUCAUUGUAUGGUGUGUUGUGAUCGUUUUAAAUAAAAGAAAAAAUAUCUUGAA
Molecule: RNA transcript, 749 nt
Organism: Echinops telfairi (small Madagascar hedgehog)
Lineage: Eukaryota; Metazoa; Chordata; Mammalia; Afrosoricida; Tenrecidae
Exons: 4
Source: RefSeq, a predicted model, not a curated record